AACUACGGCCAUACUACCCUGAACAUGCCCGAUCUCGUCUGACCUCAGAAGCUAAGCAGGGUCAGGCCUGGUUAGUACUUGGAUGGGAGACCGCCUGGGAAUACUGGGUGCUGUAGGCC
This 119-nucleotide ribosomal RNA is filed under the name Notechis scutatus (mainland tiger snake). Lineage: Eukaryota; Metazoa; Chordata; Lepidosauria; Squamata; Elapidae. The record is from RNAcentral.